This 67-nucleotide transfer RNA is filed under the name Bitias brevis. Its description in RNAcentral is "tRNA-Thr". It matches the Rfam family "tRNA". From Rfam's summary of the family: Transfer RNA (tRNA) molecules are approximately 80 nucleotides in length. Their secondary structure includes four short double-helical elements and three loops (D, anti-codon, and T loops). Further hydrogen bonds mediate the characteristic L-shaped molecular structure. tRNAs have two regions of fundamental functional importance: the anti-codon, which is responsible for specific mRNA codon recognition, and the 3' end, to which the tRNAs corresponding amino acid is attached (by aminoacyl-tRNA synthetases). tRNAs cope with the degeneracy of the genetic code in two manners: having more than one tRNA (with a specific anti-codon) for a particular amino acid; and 'wobble' base-pairing, i.e. permitting non-standard base-pairing at the 3rd anti-codon position. The record is from RNAcentral. Lineage: Eukaryota; Metazoa; Arthropoda; Malacostraca; Decapoda; Pandalidae.
UGUCUUGAUAGUUUAAUAAAAACUUUGGUCUUGUAAACCAAGAAUGAAAUCUUUUUCUCAGGAUAUC